AAGGGUCGAAAAUCUGACGGAGCACGCCCCGUGAGUGUAGAAGGUUUCGGAUCGUAAAGCUCUGUUGUUAGGGAAGAACAAGUGCGAGAGUAACUGCUCGCACCUUGACGGUACCUAACCAGAAAGCCACGGCUAACUAAGAGACAGCAGUAAAGGUAA
RNAcentral lists this ribosomal RNA (159 nucleotides) under Bacillus pumilus. RNAcentral describes it as "partial 16S ribosomal RNA". It matches the Rfam family "Bacterial small subunit ribosomal RNA", at positions 370 to 523 of the family's 1533-position model. The record is from RNAcentral. Lineage: Bacteria; Bacillati; Bacillota; Bacilli; Caryophanales; Bacillaceae.